RNAcentral lists this ribosomal RNA (1397 nucleotides) under Bacillus tequilensis. Its description in RNAcentral is "bacterial SSU rRNA". It matches the Rfam family "Bacterial small subunit ribosomal RNA". Lineage: Bacteria; Bacillati; Bacillota; Bacilli; Caryophanales; Bacillaceae. The record is from RNAcentral.
GCAGUCGAGCGGACAGAUGGGAGCUUGCUCCCUGAUGUUAGCGGCGGACGGGUGAGUAACACGUGGGUAACCUGCCUGUAAGACUGGGAUAACUCCGGGAAACCGGGGCUAAUACCGGAUGGUUGUUUGAACCGCAUGGUUCAAACAUAAAAGGUGGCUUCGGCUACCACUUACAGAUGGACCCGCGGCGCAUUAGCUAGUUGGUGAGGUAAUGGCUCACCAAGGCAACGAUGCGUAGCCGACCUGAGAGGGUGAUCGGCCAUACUGGGACUGAGCCACGGCCCAAACUUAUACGGGAGGCAGCAGUAGGGAAUCUUCCGCAAUGGACGAAAGUCUGACGGAGCAACGCCGCGUGAGUGAUGAAGGUUUUCGGAUCGUAAAGCUCUGUUGUUAGGGAAGAACAAGUACCGUUCGAAUAGGGCGGUACCUUGACGGUACCUAACCAGAAAGCCACGGCUAACUACGUGCCAGCAGCCGCGGUAAUACGUAGGUGGCAAGCGUUGUCCGGAAUUAUUGGGCGUAAAGGGCUCGCAGGCGGUUUCUUAAGUCUGAUGUGAAAGCCCCCGGCUCAACCGGGGAGGGUCAUUGGAAACUGGGGAACUUGAGUGCAGAAGAGGAGAGUGGAAUUCCACGUGUAGCGGUGAAAUGCGUAGAGAUGUGGAGGAACACCAGUGGCGAAGGCGACUCUCUGGUCUGUAACUGACGCUGAGGAGCGAAAGCGUGGGGAGCGAACAGGAUUAGAUACCCUGGUAGUCCACGCCGUAAACGAUGAGUGCUAAGUGUUAGGGGGUUUCCGCCCCUUUAGUGCUGCAGCUAACGCAUUAAGCACUCCGCCUGGGGAGUACGGUCGCAAGACUGAAACUCAAAGGAAUUGACGGGGGCCCGCACAAGCGGUGGAGCAUGUGGUUUAAUUCGAAGCAACGCGAAGAACCUUACCAGGUCUUGACAUCCUCUGACAAUCCUAGAGAUAGGACGUCCCCUUCGGGGGCAGAGUGACAGGUGGUGCAUGGUUGUCGUCAGCUCGUGUCGUGAGAUGUUGGGUUAAGUCCCGCAACGAGCGCAACCCUUGAUCUUAGUUGCCAGCAUUCAGUUGGGCACUCUAAGGUGACUGCCGGUGACAAACCGGAGGAAGGUGGGGAUGACGUCAAAUCAUCAUGCCCCUUAUGACCUGGGCUACACACGUGCUACAAUGGACAGAACAAAGGGCAGCGAAACCGCGAGGUUAAGCCAAUCCCACAAAUCUGUUCUCAGUUCGGAUCGCAGUCUGCAACUCGACUGCGUGAAGCUGGAAUCGCUAGUAAUCGCGGAUCAGCAUGCCGCGGUGAAUACGUUCCCGGGCCUUGUACACACCGCCCGUCACACCACGAGAGUUUGUAACACCCGAAGUCGGUGAGGUA